Molecule: ribosomal RNA, 1056 nt
Filed under: Triticum aestivum (bread wheat)
Lineage: Eukaryota; Viridiplantae; Streptophyta; Magnoliopsida; Poales; Poaceae
Description: partial small subunit ribosomal RNA
Source: RNAcentral
AUGCCUCGGGAGGAGCCGCCGGCGGCCGAGGUCUCGGAGACGGGGGAGAAGGAGGACGGGCAGCCGGAGGAGCAGGAGGAGAGGUGGGCGCGCCUUCUGCCGGAGCUCCUCUCGGAGGUGGUGCGCCGCGUCGAGGCGUCCGGCGGCGAGCGCUGGCCGGCCCGCAAGGACGUGGUCUCCUGCGCCUGCGUCUGCCGCCGAUGGCGCGACGCCGCCGUCGCCGUCGUGCGGCCGCCCGCGGUGUCCGGAAAGAUCACCUUCCCGUCCUCGCUCAAGCAGCCAGGGCCAAGGGAGUUCCCAAUGCAGUGUUUUAUCAAGCGGAAUAAGAAGAACUCUACGUUCUACCUCUACCUUGGCUUGACAACUGCUACUGUAGAUAAAGGGAAGUUUCUCAUGGCUGCAAGAAGGUUUAGGCGUGGCCCCCAUACCGAGUACAUUAUAUCCCUUGAUGCUGACGACUUGUCACAAGGGAGCAAUGCAUAUAUGGGGAAACUGAGAUCUGAUUUUUGGGGAACAAACUUCAAAGUAUAUGAUAGCAAGCCACCACAUGAUGGCGCUAAAGCAUCAAGUAGUCGAUCUAGUCGGCGUUUCGGAAGCAGAAGAAUCAGCCCCCAAGUAUCGGCGGGCAACUAUGAAGUCGGGCAGCUUUCAUACAAAUACAACCUGCUCAAAUCCCGAGGCCCCAGGAGGAUGUAUUGUGCACUCGAGUGCCCUUCACCUCAAGAGACCUGGGAAAACUCCCUCAAGACGAAGUUUCGGAAGCCCAUGGGUACCACGGUUUUAAGAAACAAAGCUCCCCGCUGGCAUGAGCACCUGCAGUGCUGGUGCUUGAACUUCCACGGGCGGGUAACAGUUGCGUCCGUCAAGAAUUUCCAGCUGUCCGUUGCCGCUGACCCCAAUGACCCUACUGGCUCCAGGGACGAGGAGACGGUGCUGCUGCAGUUUGGUAAGGUCGACGACGACAUCUUCACGAUGGAUUAUCGGCAGCCUCUGUCGGCAUUUCAGGCCUUUGCCAUCAGCCUCAGCAGCUUUGGCACCAAGCUAGCUUGUGAAUAG